ACCGCACAACGUCCCUGCACCAACAAAUCAUCAUACAUUAAAGGCCUACUUGAGCUUCCUCAUCAGUCACCAGAACUUAUAGAUUCGAGGGCUUCGUCUCAGAUCUUAUUAGGGUUUCCUUUCGAAGGCAACUCUCUCUACUCUCUUCUUCCCAACCCCAAUAAUGAAAUCUUCACUCGUUCAUCGAAUCUCGCACCCCAAUUUCAUUCUCGCUUGUAAUUCCUCUUAUUUCAUAUUCUUGUAGCCAAAACUUGUUGGCGCUGGAGAGACCCCAAGUAUGUGUUUAAGAUCCGUAAAACCCAUGUGUUUUUUUGGCCGUUCGUAGCGGAGUCUAUUACCCGGUCUUCCAUUGACUUUGCUUUGCCAAUGAAGCGGUCCGUCCGUCCUCUGUUCAGCAUUCUGUUGCUCAUCGUGUUUGCGGCAACCUUGACUUGUCGGGUCGCAAUCCGUUUUGGGUUUUCACAGAUUGAGCUCGAAAACAAGGUAUUGUUACGGGCUCCAGCUCCGUCGGUGUUCAACUCUACCCUGCUGAAGAUGGCGGCCAUUGAUAUGGGGGAGGCGCAUUCGAAACAAGAGAUAGAGCAGUUACUGGAAGGGAACUUCGCUAGCCGAGGGAGAUACAGGACGUUCUCCUCGUGGAGGAAGUUCAAUAAGCACGAUAUUAGAGCAAGCUCGUCGAGGGGAAUCCCGUUAAUGCUCAGGUCCACGGAAUUCUACCGCCAAUGGCUUGAAUUUAGGAGGGUAUUACAUGAUUGGGCGCGAAACAAGAGGUAUCAAGCUGAGAUAAUGAUGGAACUGGUGAGACAAGUGAAGCUUCCCAUUGACAGGCACAAUGGGUUAGUGGGUUCGGACUCCAAGUAUGCCUCCUGUGCGGUUGUGGGGAAUAGUGGGAUCUUGUUGGAGAAGGAGUAUGGGAGUUUGAUCGAUAGCCACGAAGUGGUGAUUCGAUUGAACAAUGCGAGAACUGAGAAAUUCGGGAGGAAUGUGGGAGCCAAAACCAACAUUUCCUUUGUAAAUAGCAACAUAUUGCAUCUCUGCGCGAGAAGGGAAGGAUGCUUCUGCCACCCAUAUGGUGUGAAUGUGCCCAUAGUAAUGUACAUUUGUCAACCUGUGCACCUCUUGGACUAUACAGUGUGCAAUUCAUCACACAAAGCACCUCUACUCAUUACUGAUGCAAGAAUCGAUGUGUUGUGCUCGCGAAUUGUUAAGUAUUACUCCUUGAAACGGUUUGUGGAGGAGGAAGGGAAGCCACUGGAGAAAUGGGGCUCAGCCCAUGAUGGUUCUAUGUUUCAUUACUCCUCUGGAAUGCAGGCUGUGAUGCUAGCUUUGGGAGUUUGUGAGAAAGUUAGCAUAUAUGGCUUUGGGAAAUUAGCUUCAACAAAGCAUCAUUAUCAUACUAAUCAAAAGGCUGAGCUUCGAUUACAUGAUUAUGAAGCAGAAUAUGCCUUCUAUCAUGAUUUGGUGAACAAUCCGCAGGCAAUACCCUUCAUUUCAGACAAGUUCAAGAUUCCUCCUGUGGGAUUUUUGACAUUUGCACAUGGGGAAAGUUGAGUCAACAGAAGGUGCACUAAGGAAUUGUGAAGUUAAAGGAAUCAGUGUGAUGGGCCUUCAACCUUCUAUUUUCUAGGUGAAGGACAUGUAUAUCAGCCAGGGGAAGAAAUUUUGCAGGGAACUUGUGAGUGGAACCGUUGAAGCUCCUAGCUUAUUUUUUAUAUGAGCUGGAUCUUCCUUGGAGAUACUCAAGGAAGGGACUCCCAGGAAGGACCCAACACAUCAGCAACAGAGUGUUAUACUAACUACUGGCUAUACAAAUCAAAGACUCGAAGGUUUUUUGUUUUAAACGUAUUCCCUGUUCAAAGACUGACCUUCAACUUCCUGCUGCCACUUGAUAACGUGGUCAUGCAGAUCACUUGAAAAGAGUUGGAAGACCCACGUCUUCCAACAAACCCAGCCUUGCUCUUCCGUGGAAUGAAAAUCUCUUUUGCUCCUCAAGAGAAGUUAUAUAUCUUUAGACUGCCAGGAGGACUAUGGCCCUUGCACGAGUAGGCGAUUCGACUCUGGAAACUUAACUGGGAGAACGAAAUCCAAGGAUUUACCCUGCUCAGCUAUAUCUGCAUGCUCGCCAACAAGUAAUUAUCAUUUAUCAUUAUACCACUUCAAUUGCCAUAACUUUUGGAAUCAUAUGCUUUCCUUUUCUUUUAAAUGCUAUACAUGUUUUCUUCCAUGCAUUCCCUCACAAACUUCAAGCGUGCACAUUCAUUCAAACUGAAUCCUAGUGACUGCGCGGAAAAGACCACAUUUCAUGCUUUUUUGAGAGAGAGACUUUGGAAUUGGUGUGUUGGUUUGCUUUUCUUCUUUCUUUUUUGGGUCUUAUCUUAAUUUUAUUAUUUUUCUUACUCAAGAAGACCUGAUUUAGGCAUUAAUACUCUCAGAUAUAAUUAGGAGUAUUUUGUAAACUGAGAGAGGUCUUAUUUCACUACUGCCAAGAAGUACCUUGUGCUUUCCUGCACCCGUCAGUAGGUUGUUCACAUUGUAAUACUUGUAAAUUUAUCAAACAGACGUAUUCUUGUAUCGAAGUCGUCCGUCGUUGUGCCCUGCCUAAUCAAGCAGGUGAGGAACCUUUGUUAUAUUUCCAUUCCCCUUCACCCCGAUUUUCUUCUCCUUGUUUCAGACUGCAAUUAAUUUCCAAGCGCGGCUCAUGUUAUGGAUAAGUUAUUUUGGCUCAUCUAGGAAACAGCCUCUAUCAUCAUCGCUUGCCAUGAAAUGGAAGAAACCACAUAGCUGGCUUGAAUCCUUUAUUUAGGUGUAACUUCGUAUUUUUGAACGUGAAACACAGCAUCAACGUACAAUGGUAGUCCCAAUGAAGCCGUCUAUAUGCAGUUGCUUCAACACUGUUGCUCACUGCCAUUGCCGUCUCCUUGACCUGUCUGGUUGUAAUCCGCCACCAUAUUGCACAGAUUGAGUUGGUAAGCAAGCCAGUAUCACAAACUCCAAUGCUGCCGGUGUUCAACUCUGUGCGCCUCAUAUAUAUAUAUAUAUGAGGCGCAGCCAAAGCAAGGGAAAGAGCAGGAAGGGAACUAAGGUAGCCGGGGGAAGAAGUCCAACGACCGGCUGUUGCUCAGGUGGUCCUCAAAAUUCAGUCGGGAAAAUCUUUUGGAAUCCGUUGGUUCCUGGGACACCUAGUUUAUUUGGGCUCAAAUUUUGGGCUUUCCAUGUCCAAGGAGACAGAGAAGAGGCCGUGUUGUGUUGGGCCUACUUACUUUGUGCUCUGAGAAAGUUCUAGUCCAAGGCCCAUCGCGUCCUUUUUAGGCCCAUCUGGUUCGCUUACGUGUGGCCUAUGUAUGUUGGGUCUUAGUCGCAUGACACAAUCCAAAAGACACUCUUAGUCUUAGUCGCAUGGCACAAGGCAGUUGAACGAACCAACUACCCCAAGCAAGCUAAAAGUGGAUGGCAUUUCUUUUAGUCGACAAAGCAUGGUGGCAGUCCCUUUUAUCAUAUCAUAUAUAUAUAUAUGAAAAAUAUGCAACUUCUUUUUAUUUGGUCAAGCCACCUCAAAAGGAACCAUGUUCAUACCCACAUACGAAGGCUCGGCCUCAAGACUCAAGAGUGAGUAGUACUCAUGAUUCUCUCAAGUCUUCUUGGUAGGAAAAAAAAGGGGGUCAUUGUGCACAUUUCCUUUCCACACAGAGAGAAAGGCAAACCCUUUAUUUGGGGUUUUCUCUUCUAUUUGUUUUGAGUCAAUGAUUCAACAGUGUAUCUAUAUGUCAC
Tripterygium wilfordii is the source of this 3768-nucleotide RNA transcript. It is a transcript of the gene named beta-1,6-galactosyltransferase GALT29A, with no coding region annotated. Lineage: Eukaryota; Viridiplantae; Streptophyta; Magnoliopsida; Celastrales; Celastraceae. The record is from RefSeq and is a predicted model, not a curated record. The transcript is spliced from 4 exons.